CAGGGGGUUGGGAAGCGCAAGGAGGGCGGCGGUCCCAGCGAGCACCCUUAGCAAGUCCUUAACUUGGGAUUGUGCCAGCCGAUUCCCCUCGAAGGCCAGGCUGCGAGGCAGUGAACUCAGCCACAAAAAUGGUUGACAAUACCAAGGCAGGAGUUACGGGGGUAGGAACAGAGAAGAAAAGAGACUCCUAUUGGAAGAAAGGCUGAUCAGGAAACACAAUCACUGGAGACUCAUCCCCCAGCGGUUGCAGGAGUGGAAGCAGUGUGGGGGUCUAUCCCAGGCAGCCAA
This is a long non-coding RNA of Myotis myotis, 288 nucleotides long. RefSeq lists it as uncharacterized. Lineage: Eukaryota; Metazoa; Chordata; Mammalia; Chiroptera; Vespertilionidae. The record is from RefSeq and is a predicted model, not a curated record. The transcript is spliced from 3 exons.